This 301-nucleotide ribosomal RNA is filed under the name uncultured bacterium. RNAcentral describes it as "partial 16S ribosomal RNA". It matches the Rfam family "Bacterial small subunit ribosomal RNA", at positions 509 to 807 of the family's 1533-position model. The record is from RNAcentral.
CAGUCGCCACGGUAAAACGAAGGGUGCAAGCGUUAAUCGGAAUUACUGGGCGUAAAGCGUGCGUAGGCGGUGAGUUAAGUCUGCUGUGAAAUCCCCGGGCUCAACCUGGGAAUGGCAGUGGAUACUGGCUCGCUAGAGUGUGUCAGAGGAUGGUGGAAUUCCCGGUGUAGCGGUGAAAUGCGUAGAGAUCGGGAGGAACAUCAGUGGCGAAGGCGGCCAUCUGGGACAACACUGACGCUGAGGCACGAAAGCGUGGGGAGCAAACAGGAUUAGAUACCCGGGUAGUCCCUGUCUCUUAUAC